ACUACAUGGAUAACUGUGGUAAUUCUAGAGCUAAUACAUGCUAAAAAUCCCGACUUCGGAAGGGAUGUAUUUAUUAGAUUAAAAGCCAACGCCCUUCGGGGCUUCGUGGUGAUUCAUGAUAACUUUUCGAAUCGCAUGGCCUUGCGCCGGCGAUGGUUCAUUCAAAUUUCUUCCCUAUCAACUUUCGAUGCGAAGGUCUUGUCUUCGCAUGGUUGCAACGGGUAACGGAGGGUUAGGGCUCGACCCCGGAGAAGGAGCCUGAGAAACGGCUACUACAUCCAAGGAAGGCAGCAGGCGCGCAAAUUACCCAAUCCCGACACGGGGAGGUAGUGACAAUAAAUACUGAUACAGGGCUCUUUUGGGUCUUGUAAUCGGAAUGAGUACAAUUUAAAUCCCUUAACGAGGAACAAUUGGAGGGCAAGUCUGGUGCCAGCAGCCGCGGUAAUUCCAGCUCCAAUAGCGUAUAUUAAAGUUGUUGUGGUUAAAAAGCUCGUAGUUGAACCUUGGGCCUGGCUGGCCGGUCCCCCUCACCGGGUGCACUGAUCCAGCCGGGCCUUUCCCUCUGUGGAACCCCAUGGCCUUCACUGGCCGUGGCGGGGAAACAGGACUUUUACUUUGAAAAAAUUAGAGUGCUCCAGGCAGGCCUAUGCUCGAAUACAUUAGCAUGGAAUAAUAGAAUAGGACGUGUGGUUCUAUUUUGUUGGUUUCUAGGACCGCCGUAAUGAUUAAUAGGGACAGUCGGGGGCAUCAGUAUUCAAUUGUCAGAGGUGAAAUUCUUGGAUCUAUUGAAGACUAACUACUGCGAAAGCAUUUGCCAAGGAUGUUUUCAUUGAUAAGGAACGAAAGUUAGGGGAUCGAAGACGAUCAGAUACCGUCGUAGUCUUAACUAUAAACUAUGCCGACUAGGGAUCGGACGAUGUUAUUUCUUGACGCGUUCGGCACCUUUCGAGAAAUCAAAGUGCUUGGGCUCCAGGGGGAGUAUGGUCGCAAGGCUGAAACUUAA
RNAcentral lists this ribosomal RNA (1003 nucleotides) under Pseudallescheria sp. RNAcentral's name for it is "SSU rRNA". It matches the Rfam family "Eukaryotic small subunit ribosomal RNA", at positions 134 to 1147 of the family's 1831-position model. The record is from RNAcentral. Lineage: Eukaryota; Fungi; Ascomycota; Sordariomycetes; Microascales; Microascaceae.